Molecule: long non-coding RNA, 1819 nt
Organism: Gasterosteus aculeatus aculeatus (three-spined stickleback)
Lineage: Eukaryota; Metazoa; Chordata; Actinopteri; Perciformes; Gasterosteidae
Source: Ensembl
UGAUUUGCACCGGCCACUGAGGAGGAUCUUGUGUGUGUGUGCUGCCCUCAGCUUCACCUGGGUUCUUAUCUCAACCUGCUUUGUAGCUUCUCGUAACUGGCACGGAGAAUGUUCUUCACAUGUGUAUAAAAACUCAGCGUUUUUACUGCUCGGAGACGUCAUUACGCCGAGCGCUGAGAUACGUGCUGGUGUGUUGGACCUCCUGCUUGCAAGCAAUAGUUAGAGCCAGAUGUCUGCGGAGAAUUGCUCAUGUAAUAUUUCUCUCUUCUAAAUAAAUGUUAAAUUUUGACUUUAAUUGAUCAACGUGCUGCGAUUCGUCUCAUCAACCAACUCGGGGGGAUCGGAGAUCCUGACAAUUUGGGUGCUCGUCCGGGAUGAGAGGUUUUCCUGCACAGGCGGAUUCGAUCUAAAACGCUUACACCUGCUGAACGCGACGUACUCCCAGGUCGGCCUCAAAACAAGGGUGUGACGACCUGGAGGCCUCCAUGAGGGCGGAAGACACACCGCUGAGGGAAGAGAGACGAGCUGCAGAAGAGCAGACCAAGACAGAAGGAUUCCCGGAGGCAGGAGAGACCGAGAGGUUUUCCGUUUCCCCUCCAAAGACAAGACAUUAGUUAAGUUUUACCGGCAAAGAUCGACUGAAGCCUGAGUUACUCCCUGUUUUGACUGUUUUCUGUUGAAUCUGAAGGACGUAAAUUAAAACCUUUGUUUGCAUUUUGAACCCGGUGUCCUCGCACUAUUUGAACUACCCCGGAGAGAGCGGCGGCGCCUCUCGUGACAUCACACAACCGAGAACGGUGUAAUUCUGAAAAACCACCUCCAUACGAGGGUAGAAAAAAAAAAAAAAGGAGAGACUGAUUCUCAAACAACAAGUCUGCUGCUGCAGAGCCUUUUUUUUAAGCUCUCCAAGCUGUUACUACACUUUUGAUUUAAAAAUAGUAGAAUUGUAGACAUGCAUUGAAGAAAGAAAAAGAAGAUUUAAAGUCUUUAAAGCAACAACGGCUAGAAUAAGCGUAAUAAAUCUCUGUUGAAGCAGCGGGGGUUUUAUGGGAGUAAAAAGGUCACAGCAGUGAGAAGAUGUGUGGGAGCAACAGUGGAGGCCAAUAAGGUUUUAUACCUCCUCACUUUAAGAAGCGCACACACAUACUGUUGAAUAAAGUUAAUCCUGUGUGCCAUCAUUUAGUGAUAUAAUUAGGUUUAUGCAUCUUUCUUGAAUACCAUGAUAUAUAAAGAAUAAAGAGGAUAAAUGGUCCGUUUGCUUUUCAGUUUAGAAGAAUAAGCUCAUCAUUACUGGGCUGUCAAAGGUCGGCCAAAAACCUUUACAUGAACAAGCGGGUUGUAGAGGGGAUUUUAUGAAAUCAACUAACAGGUUGAUGAGACAUUGCAACUUUUAGUUUCGCUGAACUACUUUCUUGUUAAGUGUAACACUUGAAUCAAGGAUUUAAAAUAUGAUGAAAAAUUAUUAGAAGAAAUAGAAAUAAACAUGAAAACAAAUUCAGCGCAGCAGGAAAGAAAUUUGUUUUGGGGAAAAACACAGCGCGCUUAUUUGGACGAAUGUAAGGAAACAUGGGUGAAACACACAGGUCAUCACCCAGGCACCGCGGGAGUGCACAGGGAAUGGUUUAGACAGGCGGUACUGGAGGGCGUACCAGAGAGUGUGAAAGCUAAAAUGAUGACUAACCCAGACCUGCCAGGUAGUGACUCUGCUGUGUGGGAGAGACAUUUGCUACACCAUUUACAAGACGCGACAGAAGAAGCGACAGGAGAAGAUAAACAGUUAAAGGAGCUGCAGGCUCGACUGCUGAAGCUCCAGCUCUCC